UGUGGCCUGCUCUGUCUGGGAGCAGCCAGGGACAAGUCACCUCCUGCCUUGGCUUUGCUAGGUGGCCCGGCUCAC
This 75-nucleotide microRNA precursor is filed under the name Nannospalax galili (Upper Galilee mountains blind mole rat). RNAcentral's name for it is "miRNA (ENSNGAG00000001766.1)". The record is from RNAcentral. Lineage: Eukaryota; Metazoa; Chordata; Mammalia; Rodentia; Spalacidae.